UCUGGGGCAGGUCCUGCCGUGUGGCCACAGUCCGUCCACACCCCGGUUCCCGUGCUGGGAAAGGACGGUGGGAACAGGGUGGCUCCAAGGACGUGAGCCCCCCGAUCUGAGCGCCUGAUGAGCGUCUACGUUGCCAACGAGGGGCUGGCUGCUGGCACACUCGCCCGCUUACCCUUAGGAAACAUGAAACCAGCCAUCUAUUCUUCCCAGUGGCUCAUGCUGCUUCAUCCUCAAAGGAGGAAGCCAAUCAUUACCUGUCACACAUCAAAUAGCUCCCCAUUAGCCCCGAGCGUUGUGCUAAAGCCACCUCCCGCUCUCUACUCCUGGAAGACAGACCGUCUGGCAAACACGCCCCGAGGCUAUUGUGUGCCGUUUCUGCUCGUUGGCGAGAAUACACCUAGAUGGUGGAAAAUUGAUUCAAAGGCGAUGAGACAAAGGGGCACCCCUUUCAAGGAUCAGCGAGGGGGACGGCGAGGGGGACAGGAAGAGAUUAAAAGCGACGGUUUCCAAUGAGGACAAUUUAUUUCCUGGAGAGGAACGGCUAGGCACAAAGCACCAUGAAGGAAAGGAGCCCGUGUACCCUCUGUCAAAAGCAUCCUCUUCCAGAGAACUCUGGUAACAGCGCACAGACGUUAAAGAAUUCAUCACUAAGAACGUAUUUGUGAAAUGCUAAGGAAAAGAAAGUUUAAAAACCAUGCUUCUCGGAUCACAGCUGUGUUCCUUGUAAGAAAUGGAUCACUCAGCCCCUACUAAUAAAAGUUGUAACUUU
Vicugna pacos (alpaca) is the source of this 769-nucleotide non-coding RNA. The record is from RefSeq and is a predicted model, not a curated record. Lineage: Eukaryota; Metazoa; Chordata; Mammalia; Artiodactyla; Camelidae.